This 395-nucleotide ribosomal RNA is filed under the name uncultured bacterium. Its description in RNAcentral is "bacterial SSU rRNA". It matches the Rfam family "Bacterial small subunit ribosomal RNA", at positions 355 to 767 of the family's 1533-position model. The record is from RNAcentral.
UGGGGAAUCUUGCACAAUGGGGGAAACCCUGACGCAGCGACGCCGCGUGAACGAUGAAGCCCUUCGGGGUGUAAAGUUCUUUCGGCAGGAACGAUAAUGACGGUACCUGGAGAAGAAGCUGCGGCUAACUACGUGCCAGCAGCCGCGGUAAUACGUAGGCAGCGAGCGUUGUUCGGAGUUACUGGGCGUAAAGAGUGCGUAGGCGGCGAGCCAAGUUUGGUGUGAAAUCUCCCGGCUUAACCGGGAGGGUGCGCCGAAAACUGGUUGGCUGGAGUAUGGGAGAGGAAAGCGGAAUUCCUGGUGUAGCGGUGAAAUGCGUAGAUAUCAGGAGGAACACCUGCGGUGUAGACAGCUUUCUGGACCAAAACUGACGCUGAGGCACGAAAGCGUGGGUA